RNAcentral lists this long non-coding RNA (2082 nucleotides) under Schizosaccharomyces pombe (fission yeast). The record is from RNAcentral. Lineage: Eukaryota; Fungi; Ascomycota; Schizosaccharomycetes; Schizosaccharomycetales; Schizosaccharomycetaceae.
AAAUACAUGAUUAAAUAUUCAAGAUAUUUUGCAUUAAGAAGUAAUUGGAGUCUCUGCUUUGACUGACAUGGGGCGGAAUUGAAUAAUUUCUACGUUGAGCGUAUGCAUAUUUAUGAGAACAAGUACACCAGUCUUACGAAAUUCGGGAACGGAAACCAAUUGUAUUCUGUUUCCCUCAUUAAUGACUGUUUUGCAGCCAAAUUUCGGUUGAUUACCACAAAGAUAUAGAUCAGGCAUUUCCUCCAUUACAAAUGUAUCUUUGUCGGUGAAAGGAUAGCACCCUAAAAUCAUUAGCAAAUAUAUCGUUUGAAAAAUGUACAGAUUACUUACAUAAGGUAUCAGGGCUGGUAGGUGUGAUAUGAUUCCAUAGUAAAGUGUUUUCCAUGCAUUGAAGUGAAGAUUUUUUGGGAUGAUAUUUUCGGAGAUCAUUAAUGUUUUGGCCGCUAGUAGCCAACACAAAAUGAUUGCCAAGAGAAAGCCAAGUGGGAUUCGUAACUGUUUGUAAAGAAGAUCCCAACCAAACUUUUGAUUUAGUAAGUAAAGCGGGAUGCAAAGGCUGUUGAGGAAGGAUAGUUGAACUGUAAUCAUAAGGACCAGGCAUUAAAGUGACAUCUAUGCUGGAACACACUUGAUCAAGAAAAUUAUCUAGUUGGAAGGUGGGAUUUGGAUUGUAAGCAGACGUGUCAUAGCCAUAUCUUUUUACUUUUUUCUUGCCAAUGGGCACGGACGCAGAAGCGGAGUCGGCAAUUUCUAUAGAAGGUGCUAAGCAAUUUCCGAGAAUAAUUAGCCUUUUGAUGGAGGAAGGGGAAAAGGAAGAGACAUGUGGAAGUGUUCCUCUUAGGAAAUCUACAAGCUGAUGAACUUGAAUGCCUUCUAUGCCGUCAUUUGAGAGACCUAAGCCACUGACUGCCGCAAUGUACUCUGGUUGAGCUUGCGAUUCAUCUGUAGUCAUUGGAAUGGAAUGAGAGAAGAUGCCUGGAAAACAAACGUCAACGACAACGAAACGACCUUGUUCAUCUUCAUGGCCCAAAACUGCAAGAACAACUCCUGUAACAACGCCAGCGUCAUACAAAAAGCUUCCGCUACAAUCUAUACGGCCAUAGUCAUCCUCAAGAGCAUAUUCUAUAUCACCUGAAGCAGCAUCUUCUGGGCUAACAUACGGAGAUUCUUCAGUAGUGGUGACAAUUGUAUGAAGUUGUGUGACAUCGUUCAUAACGUUUGGCUUAAGAGCUGUAGUCAUAUAAGCGGUAGCGACAACCCAACAGUCUUCAUCUGACUUAACAUCUAAAACGCGUUCCAAUCGCUGUUUAUCCGGCCAUUUUUUUGAAGCGGCUUCUGUGAUUCUGGGUCGAAGAGCGGUAAGUCGGGCGAAAUAGAUGCUGGCGUACUGUUGACUAUACGUUUGCUGACUUAAACUAAGCUCCAAGCGUUUAGUUUCUUCACAAGGAAUUGAAUGUCUGACUUCAACCAUGAUUAUUUUGUAAAUAUAUACAGUUAGGUAAGUUAAACACUUACCAAAGGAGUAGUCAGGAUAUUAAAUCGAGAUGCUCCACGAAAAAUUUCACAACAAUGGAGAGUGAAGAGUUGUCUACGAUUCAUGCAAUUACUAAAACGAGCGAGUAUUGCAAGUAAAUGUGCGGAAAAAAAUAUAUAUAUAUAUAUAUAUAUAUUUAUAUGAUUUCCCAAAAAACCUAUGAACGGCCCCAAAACACCUGUUUAAAAAAAAGAGGAAUAAAUAUAAUAACGCUUUUGUUGUUUUUUCAAUAAAAUCAGUUCUUUAAAUGUUAUUGACUAAUUUACACAAGCAGCAUAUGUAAAGAGUAAGGAACUUCAAAGGUGUGCUAUGCAAGGUUAAGGGGAAUCAAUUUCAUGGAAUGGAACCAGGUUUAGAAGGUUCGAAUAAGCAAAGGAGUUGGAUGCAGCAGAUCAACAAGUAAGAAUACGUUGUAUAUGAGAAAGUCGUGGUUCCUAACAUGACUAGCUGUUGUUACCUACAACAAUAAAGUGUUUGAAGAACAUCUUUUUUUAAAUGUAAACAAAGAGGUAAACUUGACGAAAAGAGAAAGAAGCUCAAUAAAGGUG